This 277-nucleotide ribosomal RNA is filed under the name uncultured prokaryote. RNAcentral describes it as "partial 16S ribosomal RNA". It matches the Rfam family "Bacterial small subunit ribosomal RNA", at positions 524 to 800 of the family's 1533-position model. The record is from RNAcentral.
UACGGAGGAUCCGAGCGUUAUCCGGAUUUAUUGGGUUUAAAGGGUGCGCAGGCGGGGGAUUAAGUCGGCGGUGAAAUUUUGCAGCUCAACUGUAAAAGUGCCUUCGAAACUGGUUUCCUUGAGUGUAGAUGAAGUAGGCGGAAUUUGUGGUGUAGCGGUGAAAUGCAUAGAUAUCACGAGGAACUCCGAUUGCGCAGGCAGCUUACUAAACCACUACUGACGCUCAGGCACGAAGGCGUGGGGAUCAAACAGGAUUAGAUACCCCCGUAGUCCCUGA